GGGCAGCCAUCGCCGAGUCCCCGUACGGCGCGAGCCAGGGGAGCCGGGGACCCAUAUGUCCCUUGGGGUGAAUCGGACUCCUCUCCGAGGAGUCCGUAGGAGACCUUCCUGCUCCGAACCCGUCAGCUAACCCGGUAGGCGAGAAGGAGGGAAAGG
Molecule: small RNA, 156 nt
Filed under: Streptomyces sp.
Lineage: Bacteria; Bacillati; Actinomycetota; Actinomycetes; Kitasatosporales; Streptomycetaceae
Description: c-di-AMP sequence
Rfam family: c-di-AMP riboswitch aptamer (ydaO/yuaA leader)
About the family: This family represents a conserved RNA structure found upstream of the ydaO and yuaA genes in Bacillus subtilis and related genes in other bacteria.
Source: RNAcentral